Molecule: non-coding RNA, 73 nt
Organism: Stegodyphus mimosarum
Lineage: Eukaryota; Metazoa; Arthropoda; Arachnida; Araneae; Eresidae
Source: Rfam
GCCUUCGUGGGGUAGUGGUCAGCACGCUCGGCGCGUAUUCGAGAGGUCCGUGAUUCGAAUCCCGGCGAGGGCA